CACUGCUGCAGCCUGUGGCCUGGACAUUUGCCCAUGGUUGUGAGGUCCCCAUGCAUGGGACUUCUUCCUCCUGACUCCAGGCUUCAGUUCACCCAUCAGGCCUUAAAGCAUCUUCUGCCCUAUCUUGCCCUGAACUUUUUGCUGCAAAAACCAAGGGCACUGCCUCAAGCUUAUCUUCCCAGCCACUGUUUACUGCUGCUACAUUGUUGCCCAAGACACUUCAGAAGUGACCGUUUUUGUCAUCUCCUGCCAAGUCCUGGAAGGCAAGCCACCAAGUCCCAUGCACCAUUCCCACAGCCUGACAACCUUCCUGACUCUACCCACUGGAAUCUAAAGAGUCUGCCCACUUCUGGAUGUUUGUUCAGGUGAGCUCUCCACAAGUGUGGUGACCAUGACCACGGCAGGCUCAGUUCCCACCCG
Molecule: long non-coding RNA, 420 nt
Filed under: Pan troglodytes (chimpanzee)
Lineage: Eukaryota; Metazoa; Chordata; Mammalia; Primates; Hominidae
Description: long non-coding RNA NONPTRT008869
Source: RNAcentral